Molecule: ribosomal RNA, 507 nt
Filed under: uncultured bacterium
Lineage: Bacteria
Description: partial 16S ribosomal RNA
Rfam family: Bacterial small subunit ribosomal RNA
Source: RNAcentral
GACGAACGCUGGCGGCGUGCCUAAUACAUGCAAGUCGAACGCAUUUUCUUUCACCGUAGUUUGCUACACCGAAAGAAAAUGAGUGGCGAACGGGUGAGUAACACGUGGGUAACCUGCCCAUCAGCGGGGGAGAACACUUGGACACAGGUGCUAAUACCGCAUAAUUCCAUUUACCGCGUGGUAGAUGGAUGAAAGGCGCUUUUGCGUCACUGAUGGAUGGAGUCGCGGUGCGUUAGCUAGUUGGUGGGGUAACGGCCUACCAAGGCUGCGAUGCAUGGCCGGCCUGAGGAGGUGGUCGGGCACACUGGGACUGGGACACGGCCCAGACUCCUACGGGGGGCAGCAGUAGGGGAUCUUCGGCAAUGGACGGAAGUCUGACUCAACACCGCCGCGGGGGUGGAGGAGGGUUUCCGGUCGUAAAACUCUGUUGUUUGAGAAGAACAAGGAGGAGGGUGAAAACUUCAUGCCUUGACGGUAUCUAAACAAAAAGCCAUGGCUAACUACGUG